CCUACGGGAGGCAGCAGUAGGGAAUAUUGGACAAUGGGGGAAACCCUGACCCAGCAACGCCGCGUGAAGGAAGAAGGUUUUCGGAUUGUAAACUUCUUUUGUGAGAGAAGAUAAUGACGGUAUCCCUCUAGGAAGCACCGGCUAACUACGUGCCAGCAGCCGCGGUAAUACGGAGGGUGCGAGCGUUUAUCGGACUUACUGGGUGUAAAGGGCGCGUAGGCGGGAUAGCAAGUCAGAUGUGAAAUCUUAGGGCUUAACCCAUGAACUGCAUUUGAAACUGUUAUUCUUGAGUAUCGGAGAGGCAGGUGGAAUUCCUAGUGUAGCGGUGAAAUGCGUAGAUAUUAGGAGGAACACCAGUGGCGAAGGCGGCCUGCUGGACCAUAACUGACGCUGAGGCGCGAAAGCGUGGGGAGCAAACAGGAUUAGAUACCCUUGUAGUC
This 440-nucleotide ribosomal RNA is filed under the name uncultured bacterium. RNAcentral's name for it is "partial 16S ribosomal RNA". It matches the Rfam family "Bacterial small subunit ribosomal RNA", at positions 338 to 795 of the family's 1533-position model. The record is from RNAcentral.